RNAcentral lists this ribosomal RNA (384 nucleotides) under uncultured bacterium. Its description in RNAcentral is "bacterial SSU rRNA". It matches the Rfam family "Archaeal small subunit ribosomal RNA", at positions 339 to 727 of the family's 1478-position model. The record is from RNAcentral.
GCGCGAAAACUUUACAAUGCGGGCAACCGUGAUAAGGGAACCUCGAGUGCCUGUAUAUGCAGGCUGUCCAGGUGUCUAAAACACACCUGAAGAAAGGGCCGGGCAAGACCGGUGCCAGCCGCCGCGGUAAUACCGGCGGCUCGAGUGGUGGCCACUUUUAUUGGGCUUAAAGCGUUCGUAGCUGGGUCGUUAAGUCUCUUGGGAAAUCCGGCAGCUCAACUGUCGGGCGUCUAAGAGAUACUGGCGAUCUUGGAACCGGGAGAGGUGAGGGGUACUUCGGGGGUAGGAGUGAAAUCCUGUAAUCCUCGAGGGACCACCUGUGGCGAAGGCGCCUCACCAGAACGGCUUCGACAGUGAGGGACGAAAGCUGGGGGAGCAAACCGG